This 67-nucleotide transfer RNA is filed under the name Microplitis manilae. RNAcentral describes it as "tRNA-Tyr". The record is from RNAcentral. Lineage: Eukaryota; Metazoa; Arthropoda; Insecta; Hymenoptera; Braconidae.
AGUAUUAUGUCUGAUUUAAGUAAUAAACUGUAAAUUUAUUCAAAAGAUAAAAUUAUCUUUAAUACUU